RNAcentral lists this transfer RNA (75 nucleotides) under Salmonella enterica subsp. enterica. RNAcentral describes it as "tRNA-Val". The record is from RNAcentral. Lineage: Bacteria; Pseudomonadati; Pseudomonadota; Gammaproteobacteria; Enterobacterales; Enterobacteriaceae.
GGGUGAUUAGCUCAGCUGGGAGAGCACCCUCCCUACAAGGAGGUCGGCGUGGCCCGAUCCCGUCAUCACCCACCA